This 230-nucleotide long non-coding RNA is filed under the name Setaria viridis. Its description in RNAcentral is "long non-coding RNA (SVIR_LNC008707)". The record is from RNAcentral. Lineage: Eukaryota; Viridiplantae; Streptophyta; Magnoliopsida; Poales; Poaceae.
AACUAUCAAGCAUUCCGUUGUUUUCUACACCUCCCCCGUGAGCCGUGACUUUGUUUAUUCCAACCAUUCCAUUGUGCUCUCUUGACUCAUUCCAUCGGUUGGACAAAGGGAAACGCAUCUUCCUUGUAACUUGUGUUUUUUUUAAGAAAAAUAUAUACAACCAUCUUUUCAGCACAUGUGCACCCCAGUAUUUUGCGUGACAAGUGGACCUCUUCGCUUCAGCUUAUCAG